This is a non-coding RNA of Mycena latifolia, 92 nucleotides long. Lineage: Eukaryota; Fungi; Basidiomycota; Agaricomycetes; Agaricales; Mycenaceae. The record is from the annotation of a GenBank genome assembly.
GGGGACGUGGUGUACGGUGCACCGCUGCAUUACUUAAUUGAGGCGUUAAUUAGGUUAUGCAGCAGGCCGGGGUUCGACUCCCCGCGUCCUCC